This 468-nucleotide ribosomal RNA is filed under the name uncultured bacterium. Its description in RNAcentral is "partial 16S ribosomal RNA". It matches the Rfam family "Bacterial small subunit ribosomal RNA", at positions 28 to 507 of the family's 1533-position model. The record is from RNAcentral.
GACGAACGCUGGCGGCGUGCUUAACACAUGCAAGUCGAACGGAAAGGCCCUGCUUUUGUGGGGUGCUCGAGUGGCGAACGGGUGAGUAACACGUGAGUAACCUGCCCUUGACUUUGGGAUAACUUCAGGAAACUGGGGCUAAUACCGGAUAGGAGCUCCUGCUGCAUGGUGGGGGUUGGAAAGUUUCGGCGGUUGGGGAUGGACUCGCGGCUUAUCAGCUUGUUUGUGGGGUAGUGGCUUACCAAGGCUCUGACGGGUAGCCGGCCUGAGAGGGUGACCGGCCACAUUGGGACUGAGAUACGGCCCAGACUCCUACGGGAGGCAGCAGUGGGGAAUAUUGCACAAUGGGCGGAAGCCUGAUGCAGCAACGCCGCGUGCGGGAUGACGGCCUUCGGGUUGUAAACCGCUUUCGCCUGUGACGAAGCGUGAGUGACGGUAAUGGGUAAAGAAGCACCGGCUAACUACGUG